CACCCCUCAACCCCUGCAGCAGUUGAUAGUAAGGAUGUGGUCAAGGACUGUCCCUCUCCUGUUCUGCCUCUGCUUCCAACUCAGAACUAACCAGACUACUCAAAGCCCCACGUGGUGGGCCAUUUCUGCAGAGCAAUCCUCAAUGUGAUCUAAAGACUUAGAUGGAUGCUGAGUGUCCCCAGCGAUAAGCCUUCCUAUUGCUCCACAUCUUUGUCGACAAGUAGUAUUGAGCUAAGUGUUCAAGGGCCCUUGAGAUGCUGAAGAAUAUAAAGAACCUGAGUCUCAUUCGGUCCUUGCAAAAGAACAGAGAAUAGGCCAGGAGCCUCAGAAAUACUCAGCUCUGCUGCAAACAAGGAACAGGAAACGGACACGCACAUAUCCUCUUGCCCUCCAGUCCGUGAAGAAAAACUUCACUUAGCCAUUCUACAAAAUCCAGAGUGUGGCACCUUCAUACCAAUUUAGACAUUAAGUUGGGACUCUGAGGAAGGAGAAAGGAAGAAAAUCCAAGUGGCUGGUGCCCCAACCUGCUAUCUCAAUGCUAGUUCCCGCCUCCUCGACAGGAACAAAGCUCAGAAGGGCCCAGGGAGGCUGGAGGCGUGACUAACCACAUGCAAGUGAGU
Molecule: long non-coding RNA, 620 nt
Organism: Canis lupus familiaris (dog)
Lineage: Eukaryota; Metazoa; Chordata; Mammalia; Carnivora; Canidae
Exons: 5
Source: RefSeq, a predicted model, not a curated record